CACCUACUUCCUCCUGUGCAGGGAGAAUCCCCAGCUGAUGCGUCAGAGCAGGGGGGGUCAGGUUUGUCAGGGAGGCUUACGGUUGUUAUUGAGGAAGAGAUCCAGUUGCAGCAGACAGCUGGGUGCUGACACAGACAGACAGAAACAGCUCCUAAUACACUGAGAUACACUUUAAAGUGCCACAGAUCUACCAUUCUGAGAGAGAUGGUGUGAUUGAUCAUCAAUGCAUGCCGGUACGUGGUGCUGAAGAUCCGGGCUGCAGGAAAAGGCGAGGCACAGACGGAGAAAAGCAGCACCACAUGCAGCCAGGCUAAAGGACAAAUGGACAGCAGGAUUAGUCAGGAUGGAUCUGCCUUGAUCCCCAACCCGACACAGAGUGUGGAGGUCCUGCAGAAGGAAGAGUGUGGAUCCUGAAUGUAAACCCAGAGCCGGAGUGUAGUGUGGACGGACUAUAAGGAAGAGACAAACAAAUACACAACACAGAAACACACACAGUGAAACAAACACAUCCUGGUAGAUGUUCUUCUUCUACUUGGCUCUUCUCAAAUAUAAUGAAAUGACACAUUGCUGAUUUCUUGACAGAACCAUUCAUAAAAAAACAUGACACAUAAACUCUGACCUUCAUUGAACUCCCACUGCUUCCAGCUCUAGGUUUACUUUCCCACUCGUCCUUCAUCCAGUGGAGAGAGCAGUCUGAGUUGGCAGAGAGAAUGAAAGCCUGAUCACCAAUUCCCCCAACAGAGGAACGGAUCAGUCCGGAAAAAUAUUAAAGACUCUGCUGAUAAAGCUGCACCAAGUCAAUGAAUUCAUGUAUUUAUUGGCCUUUUUCCCUGUAACUGUAACACUUUUCAGUAAAAAAGAGCAAUAUUCGUGAUUUA
Long non-coding RNA from Eleginops maclovinus (Patagonian blennie), 878 nucleotides. RefSeq lists it as uncharacterized. The record is from RefSeq and is a predicted model, not a curated record. The transcript is spliced from 3 exons. NCBI's taxonomy places the organism in Eukaryota, Metazoa, Chordata, Actinopteri, Perciformes, Eleginopidae.